Molecule: long non-coding RNA, 463 nt
Organism: Haplochromis burtoni (Burton's mouthbrooder)
Lineage: Eukaryota; Metazoa; Chordata; Actinopteri; Cichliformes; Cichlidae
Exons: 3
Source: RefSeq, a predicted model, not a curated record
UGAGAACGUUCAGCUGUAAAGAUCUUUUAAAGAUUCAUACAAUCAUCUUUCUGACCAGAAGCUGAAAUCUACAGCAGCCAUGAUCGUGGCAGAAGCUGGAUUUUUGUUUUUGGGUUUCAUUCUGUGUCUCUCAGGUGUUAAUGGAGGAGAAACCAGGAUCUGUGCUCUCAAAGGUUCAUCAGUGGAUCUGCACUGCUCACAUCAACAUCUGACCUCAAACAGCAAAUGGUUCACUGCACACUUAAAUGGGUCAGUGAGUGAGCUCUCUGUGGAUGGACAACGUGUAACGUACAACACGUCUGAAGAGACAAAAACAACUUUAACCAUCAAUGAUCUAAGAGAGAGUGAUGCAAAUACGUACUGCUGUAUGAAGACUACAGACAGACCAGGAAACUGUUCACUCAGUAAUAUUACUCUUCAAGUAGUUACAGAGCUGCAGGUAAAGGUGAUUCCUGCCACAGAG